RNAcentral lists this ribosomal RNA (473 nucleotides) under uncultured Desulfobulbus sp. Its description in RNAcentral is "bacterial SSU rRNA". It matches the Rfam family "Bacterial small subunit ribosomal RNA", at positions 916 to 1381 of the family's 1533-position model. Lineage: Bacteria; Pseudomonadati; Thermodesulfobacteriota; Desulfobulbia; Desulfobulbales; Desulfobulbaceae. The record is from RNAcentral.
GACGGGGCCCGGCACAAGCGGUGGAGUAUGUGGUUAAUUCGAUGCAACGCGAAGAACUUACCUGGUCUUGACAUCCCGGAGACCCUUAGGAAACUAGGGGUGCUUCCAUCUGGAAGAAUCUGGAGACAGGUGCUGCAUGGCUGUCGUCAGCUCGUGUCGUGAGAUGUUGGGUUAAGUCCCGCAACGAGCGCAACCCUUGCCUUUAGUUGCCAGCAGUUCGGCUGGGCACUCUAAAGGGACUGCCGGUGUUAAACCGGAGGAAGGUGGGGAUGACGUCAAGUCCUCAUGGCCUUUAUGACCAGGGCUACACACGUACUACAAUGGCCGAUACAAAGGGCAGCGACACUGCGAGGUGAAGCCAAUCCCGUAAAAUCGGUCUCAGUCCGGAUUGGAGUCUGCAACUCGACUCCAUGAAGUUGGAAUCGCUAGUAAUCGUGGAUCAGCAUGCCACGGUGAAUACGUUCCCGGGCCUU